GCAGAACGCGAAGAACCUUACCAGGGUUUGACAUCCUACGACCGCUCCUUAAUAGGAGUUUUCCCGCAAGGGACGUAGAGACAGGUGCUGCAUGGCUGUCGUCAGCUCGUGUCGUGAGAUGUUGGGUUAAGUCCCGCAACGAGCGCAACCCUCGCCUUUAGUUGCCAUCAUUCAGUUGGGCACUCUAGAGGGACCGCCGGCGACAAGCCGGAGGAAGGUGGGGAUGACGUCAAGUCCUCAUGGCCCUUACACCCUGGGCUACACACGUGCUACAAUGGCGGUGACAGUGGGCAGCUACUCAGCGAUGAGCGGCUAAUCCCAAAAAACCGCCCCAGUUCAGAUUGCACUCUGCAACUCGAGUGCAUGAAGGUGGAAUCGCUAGUAAUCGCAGAACAGCAGGCUGCGGUGAAUACGUUCCCGGGU
Molecule: ribosomal RNA, 423 nt
Filed under: uncultured bacterium
Lineage: Bacteria
Description: bacterial SSU rRNA
Rfam family: Bacterial small subunit ribosomal RNA
Source: RNAcentral